GGAGGGUGCGAGCGUUGUCCGGAAUCACUGGGCGUAAAGGGCGCGUAGGCGGCCUGGUAAGUAGGAGGUGAAAUCCUGCGGCUUAACCGCAGGGCUGCCUUCUAAACUGUCAGGCUCGAGCACAGUAGAGGCAGGUGGAAUUCCCGGUGUAGCGGUGGAAUGCGUAGAGAUCGGGAAGAACAUCAGUGGCGAAGGCGGCCUGCUGGGCUGUUGCUGACGCUGAGGCGCGACAGCGUGGGGAGCAAACAGGAUUAGAUACCCUGGUAGUCCACGCCGUAAACGAUGGGCACUUAGGCGUCGGGGGGAGCGACCCUCCCGGUGCCGUCGCUAACGCAGUAAGUGCCCCGCCUGGGGAGUACGGCCGCAAGGCUG
RNAcentral lists this ribosomal RNA (372 nucleotides) under uncultured bacterium. Its description in RNAcentral is "bacterial SSU rRNA". It matches the Rfam family "Bacterial small subunit ribosomal RNA", at positions 527 to 896 of the family's 1533-position model. The record is from RNAcentral.